AUGCAAAUACCUCCGGAGCCACAAGGAACCCACGUGGAGGAGCCCUCUCUCUGGACACACAUAAUCGAAGUGAGGACAGUGUUGAAGAAGCUCCUCAGAAGGAGUUCUAGUUCUCAGACCUUUCACUCUUUUGGUCACUCUUCUCUGGACACAGUCUACUUUGUCCCAGCCUUUCCUGACCUUUGUUGCCCAGAAGUGGACACAGUCUUAUUCCAGGCAAAGUCUGACCAAAGCCAAAGAGAUACCCACCUUCAGAGGGAGACAGAGCUUUGGAGACAGGAGGUGAGUUGUGAGUUGGGUGUCCCUUGGGAACGGUAACCAGCGGAAAAAGAUCGCCACCCUUUCCCCUUGGGUUCCUCCAUCCCGUUUGCUCCCUGUCCCUCAUGGAAGCUGGAUCAAGGCAGCAUUUGAGGGAUAUUGCAAAGGAAAUGCCCUUCUUAGCUGGAGCCUUGAGUUUCCCUUUCUUUCCCUGCAGUUUCUGGGGAGAGAGAAGCCCCUCU
RNAcentral lists this long non-coding RNA (500 nucleotides) under Anolis carolinensis (green anole). RNAcentral's name for it is "lncRNA (ENSACAG00000040202.1)". Lineage: Eukaryota; Metazoa; Chordata; Lepidosauria; Squamata; Anolidae. The record is from RNAcentral.